This is a small nucleolar RNA of Impatiens glandulifera, 89 nucleotides long. The record is from RefSeq and is a predicted model, not a curated record. Lineage: Eukaryota; Viridiplantae; Streptophyta; Magnoliopsida; Ericales; Balsaminaceae.
UCUCAGUGAUGAUCAAAACGAUGACGAGUCUGAUUUAUAAUCCAUUCCAUUCAUCCUUGAUGACAAAACGAGGCAUUUGUCUGAGAGAA